RNAcentral lists this transfer RNA (72 nucleotides) under Wolfiporia cocos. RNAcentral's name for it is "tRNA-Glu". It matches the Rfam family "tRNA". Rfam says of the family: Transfer RNA (tRNA) molecules are approximately 80 nucleotides in length. Their secondary structure includes four short double-helical elements and three loops (D, anti-codon, and T loops). The record is from RNAcentral. Lineage: Eukaryota; Fungi; Basidiomycota; Agaricomycetes; Polyporales; Phaeolaceae.
GGUCUUUUCGUAUAAAGGAAAUUACGUCACCCCUUCAAGUUGAAAAUGCCAGUUCGAUUCUGGUAAAGGCUA